CCUACGGGAGGCAGCAGUGAGGAAUAUUGGUCAAUGGUCGGAAGGCUGAACCAGCCAUGCCGCGUGAAGGUCAGUGCCCUAUGGGCGUUAAACUUCUUUUGUGCGGGAGCAAUAAUGGUCACGUGUGGCCAGACGAGAGUACCGUACGAAUAAGCAUCGGCUAACUCCGUGCCAGCAGCCGCGGUAAUACGGGGGAUGCAAGCGUUAUCCGGAUUUAUUGGGUUUAAAGGGUGCGUAGGCUGUGAGGUAAGUCAGCGGUGAAAUGCCCCCGCUCAACGGGGUGAAGUGCCAUUGAUACUGCCUGGCUGGAAUGCGGAUGCCGUGGGAGGAAUGUGUGGUGUAGCGGUGAAAUGCAUAGAGAUCACACAGAACACCGAUUGCGAAGGCAUCUCACGAAGCCGCGAUUGACGCUGAUGCACGAAAGCGUGGGUAUCAAACAGGAUUGGAUACCCCGGUAGUC
RNAcentral lists this ribosomal RNA (460 nucleotides) under uncultured bacterium. Its description in RNAcentral is "partial 16S ribosomal RNA". It matches the Rfam family "Bacterial small subunit ribosomal RNA", at positions 338 to 795 of the family's 1533-position model. The record is from RNAcentral.